UACAGAGGGUGCAAACGUUGUUCGGAAUUACUGGGCAUAAAGCGCGCGCAGGCGGCCUGUUAAGUGUGGAGUGAAAUCCCACGGCUUACCCGUGGAACGGCUUCGCAUACUGGCAGGCUCGAGGACGGUAGGGGAGAGCGGAACUCUUGGUGGAGCGGUGAAAUGCGUAGAUAUCAAGAGGAACACCGAUGGCGAGGGCAGCUCUCUGGUCCGUAUCUGACGCUGAGGCGCGAAAGCUAGGGUAGCGAACGGG
This 253-nucleotide ribosomal RNA is filed under the name uncultured bacterium. Its description in RNAcentral is "partial 16S ribosomal RNA". It matches the Rfam family "Bacterial small subunit ribosomal RNA", at positions 524 to 776 of the family's 1533-position model. The record is from RNAcentral.